AUCGCGAAGGGCCUGUUGACGUUAUUUUCGGUCGAUCAGUUUAACCUAUCGCUGUUCGGAAAAUUGUAUUCUUGGGGUAUUAUAUCGUUGAGAUGUUCAGUCAGUACGUCUAUUCGAACGCUGAAGUAUUUAAUUUGCUAGCAUAUUUGGUCGUCGAGAAUUGAACUGAAUCGAAGCUCAGAUUUUCCUUGAAAAUUCUGUCGCAUAUACCCGUCGUGAGUUUCGCUGCUAAUACCCGAACAAGUAACAUUUAAGAAGGAAAGAAUCAGUUACGUCAAACAAAGAUCGCUACGUGAUCUUGAAAUCGCAUGCGGAACUGGGAUCGGGAAGCAACGCGGUCAAGCUUCGUUCUGACUCCCUUUUGGGUCUCUGAAGCAGCAACCUCCUCGCGUUCAGGGCUCGGAACAAGAUUUCGUCUGCAAAUUGUUGAAAUUGGUAUUCCUCCGAUCGGAGGUCCCGCAGGGAGGGGCCCGUGAGUGAGUACGGGGGGUAGCGUAAAACGGAAUUUAUAAUUUCAAUUAUUUUUAAUUAUAGUUUGUAAGCUAAUAAAACAAUAU
Molecule: long non-coding RNA, 557 nt
Organism: Megalopta genalis
Lineage: Eukaryota; Metazoa; Arthropoda; Insecta; Hymenoptera; Halictidae
Source: RefSeq, a predicted model, not a curated record